This 325-nucleotide long non-coding RNA is filed under the name Ananas comosus (pineapple). RNAcentral describes it as "long non-coding RNA (ACOM_LNC009408)". The record is from RNAcentral. Lineage: Eukaryota; Viridiplantae; Streptophyta; Magnoliopsida; Poales; Bromeliaceae.
AAAUUUUAAAUAAAUUCAACACAAAUAGAAGUAUAUAUAAAUAGGGAGUCCGGCUGCUAUGCAAUCGAUAGCACCAAACACUUGGUGCUAUCAAGUUUUCUGCCGUUAGAUUAAUCCCUUUGAUUAUUUUUAUCCGUUAGAUUAUAUUAUUGAACCAACCACUCACUCAACCCCAGAAGGCCCACAUCAUCCUAACUGCAUAUUUCUCAAUUCAAGGGCUAAAAAUUCAAUAGCACCAAUAACUUAGUGCUAUUGAUAGUAUUCCAGCUUAGUUCUAUAAAUAGGUGUACAAUAAUAUAUAAAGGAUCUUAUAUUAUAAAUACCA